RNAcentral lists this ribosomal RNA (394 nucleotides) under uncultured bacterium. RNAcentral's name for it is "bacterial SSU rRNA". It matches the Rfam family "Bacterial small subunit ribosomal RNA", at positions 505 to 898 of the family's 1533-position model. The record is from RNAcentral.
GUGUCAGCCGCCGCGGUAAUACGUAGGGAGCAAGCGUUAUCCGGAAUUACUGGGUGUAAAGGGAGUGUAGGCGGGACUGUAAGUCAGAUGUGAAAUAUGCCGGCUCAACUGGCAGACUGCAUUUGAAACUGUGGUUCUUGAGUGAAGUAGAGGUAAGCGGAAUUCCUGGUGUAGCGGUGAAAUGCGUAGAUAUCAGGAGGAACAUCAGUGGCGAAGGCGGCUUACUGGGCUUUAACUGACGCUGAGGCUCGAAAGCGUGGGGAGCAAACAGGAUUAGAUACCCUGGUAGUCCACGCUGUAAACGAUGAUUACUAGGUGUGGGGGGACUGACCCCUUCCGUGCCGGAGCAAACGCAAUAAGUAAUCCACCUGGGGAGUACGGCCGCAAGGCUGAA